AUUGAACGCUGGCGGCAUGCCUUACACAUGCAAGUCGAACGGCAGCACGGGAGCAAUCCUGGUGGCGAGUGGCGAACGGGUGAGUAAUAUAUCGGAACGUGCCCAGUAGUGGGGGAUAGCCCGGCGAAAGCCGGAUUAAUACCGCAUACGACCUGAGGGUGAAAGCGGGGGAUCGCAAGACCUCGCGCUAUUGGAGCGGCCGAUAUCAGAUUAGCUUGUUGGUGGGGUAAAAGCCUACCAAGGCGACGAUCUGUAGCUGGUCUGAGAGGACGACCAGCCACACUGGGACUGAGACACGGCCCAGACUCCUACGGGAGGCAGCAGUGGGGAAUUUUGGACAAUGGGCGCAAGCCUGAUCCAGCCAUGCCGCGUGCGGGAAGAAGGCCUUCGGGUUGUAAACCGCUUUUGUCAGGGAAGAAACGGCUCUUGAUAAUACCGAGAGCUAAUGACGGUACCUGAAGAAUAAGCACCGGCUAACUACGUGCCAGCAGCCGCCGCGG
This 500-nucleotide ribosomal RNA is filed under the name uncultured bacterium. RNAcentral describes it as "partial 16S ribosomal RNA". It matches the Rfam family "Bacterial small subunit ribosomal RNA", at positions 29 to 523 of the family's 1533-position model. The record is from RNAcentral.